RNA transcript from Onychostoma macrolepis, 3302 nucleotides. It is a transcript of the gene named CD209 antigen-like protein C, with no coding region annotated. The record is from RefSeq and is a predicted model, not a curated record. Lineage: Eukaryota; Metazoa; Chordata; Actinopteri; Cypriniformes; Cyprinidae. The transcript has 7 exons.
UCUGUUUAAGUGAUAAAGUAGACCUAAUAUGUAUAAUUUAAGCAAUUUCUUAUAAAUAUGUGGCUAUUUUAGAGAAAAUAUGAGUAAGUAAAUCAUAGAGACAUACAGUGACUUUUCUAACAGGAAUGACCCACAACUUUAACUUGCUUUAAAGCAGACUCAAAUUUAAAAGUGCCCUUAUGAAAGAGACGUUUAUUCAAGAGUGCUGUUAGUAUACUUCUUCUAAACUAAAAAUAGGGAAGUAUACUUUGUCUACUGUUCUUGUACUUCUCAGAAAUAUACUCAUGACUUUUCCCACACUUGCAGUCUUUGCACUUGACAACUUAUAUGACAUAUUUCGUGUGUUUGGUUCAAGUGAGGGUGAAGACCACAAGUGUGUGUCAAACUUUUCAGUACCUUAUGGGACACACUUAUAGUGUUGUAAAAAUGCAAAUGUUUACAUAGCUUUAUUUUAAUUUAAAAUACUUUGCAUUAUAAAUCAACUUCUAAAUGUCUGUUCAGUAGUCCCUAAAACAUGACAACUGUAAUUAAAUUAUAAAAAGAAGUUGCAAAUGUUGUACAAAAUAAAUAUCACCACUACUCAUCUUUGCACCAAUAAAACGUAAAAACACUGUUUUUCUACCAAAUUAUUUGUAAUAUCUAAUUAUUAUAUUAAUAUUUAACUUGCAUUGGAAAGGUUUCCGUGACCUCUUGCGAGAUCUCGGGAAAAAGUCUCACGAUUUAUUUCCAGAACAUGAUGCAUGAUGGGAUACACUCAGCAUAAAUAGUGUCUACAGAAACACAGAAGAGGAAAUACACAGUCUGCUACAGGAGAGAAACUAGUGCUAGAUUGUUGGCAUCUUGACGACACGGAAACUGCAGAAAGUGAACAAAAAUAUAGAAAAGGGAAAAUGAACAGAGAACAUCGGAAAAGCAUCAAUGAUAUCUAUGAAAAUGCCUUUGUUACAGAAGGUAAAUUUGGAGAAAGGACAACAGACAGUCACACAAAGAAAAUCCAGUCAUCUGAACUCACAGGAAGUGAUGGUGUGAAGAGCAGGAGCUCCAGAGCAGUUGUGGUGUGUUUGCCGCUGCUGUGUGUUCUUCUGACCGCAGCCAAAGUGCUGUGUGUCCUCAUCCAUUCAAAGAGCACAGACUACACACAAGAGAGACAACAGCUACUAACUAAGAUCACCAACCUCACAGAAGAGAGAGACCAACUACUAACCAACAAUAUGAACCUCACAGAAGAGAGAGACCAGCUGAAAUCAGAAAAAAGUGAACUUCAGAAGUUUUCUGCUGGUGUUUGCCAGUUCUUCAGUCUAAACGGUGGAUGGAAGUGCCAUCAAUCCAGUCUUUACUUCAUUUCCUCUGAGAAGAAGAGCUGGACUGAGAGCAGAAGAUACUGUACAGACAGAAGAGCAGAUCUGAUCAUCAUAAACAACAGAGAGGAACAAGAUUUUGUGAAGGACAUUUCUGGUGGUGAUUUAGUCUGGAUUGGUCUGACUGACAGUCAUGUGGAGGGCAGAUGGAAAUGGGUUGAUGGCAGCGAUGUGACCUCUGGGUUCUGGGAGGAUGGACAACCGAAUAGCUUCCAGGGAAAAGAGGAAGACUGUGCUCUAAUUCACUCACCAGGAUGGGCUGAUUAUCCAUGUGAUUAUUCAUCUAAAUGGAUCUGAGCUGGGACGAGACAGACAAUCUUGCAAGUCAAGACAAGGCAGGACAAAAUCGAUGGCGCAAGAGGGUGGAAGGAAAAAUCCUUUUGUAGUUCGCCCAAGUUAUGAUUGCUGGGCUCCGUGGAUUGGACCUAAUACCCGAAAGUCAGACAUUGUUCUAAACACUGAGCAUGCAAAACUACAAAAAACAAAGUCCUGUGAUGUUCCAGAUCUUGACAUCACAGAGGAAAGGUUAGGUGAUGAGCUCUUUAAUCUUAAGGUAUGAACAAAUUUACAAUGUCUAAUUAUGUUUUGCGAUCAUUUUGGUUGAUGCAGUGAGGAAGCUGUGCAAAGAAUGUGGAUUGGACGCAAAGGGAUCAAGGAUGAAUAAUUUGCACAGUAUUUGGUAUUUUAUGGUGAUUUUGUUUUUCCCUGUGUGGAGUAAAUUCUUUCUAGACAGUCUGUGUAGUUUACACGGUUUUUAUUUAUUUAUUUAUAAUUGAAGAUCAGAUGCUGAAAGACAGCUACUCAGAAAAAGGCGCAAAACAAGGAACACAGGUGUAACUUUAACUAAAAUAGGUUUGCAACUGUUACGGGGCUGACGAGACGUGAAAUGUGUGGAUCCAUGUGCAAGCUUUUAUUGAAGAGAGACGUGGUCAUAACAGGCAGGGUCAAACAAUGGCAGACAGGUAUAUCAGAGGUAAUGCAAAGACUAGUCCAAAACGGGCGUGGGUCAUACAACAGUGAACAGUCACAAAAGGGGCUUGACGAGAGGUAAUCCAAACGUAAGUGAUAGUCCAGGCAGGGGUAAACACAAUCCGACUUAGGCAAGGCUAGAAAAACUAAUGGCGCUUUUUCACUGCAUGGUACGGCACGGUACGGUUCAGUACGGCUCACUUUUGGGGGGUUUUCCACUGGGAACAGUACCUGGUACCUGGUACUUUUUUUAGUCCCACCUCGGCCGAGGUUCCAAGCGAACCGUACCGUUACCAAAACGUGACGUGUAAACUCUGCUGAUCACUGCCUGCGUCAUUGAACUUGCGGCACGAGACACAACAGACCCGCUAGAUUUAAAUCAGCAGCCAGCGAAGGAUUGAACACAACUGUUUUGAAUGAGCACACCUUUCUUUUAACAACCAAAAAAAUGGCAGUUUCGUUGUCUGUUGGGGAAGUACAGACUGUCCUCUCGUUGAUAGCUGACGAGCGGAUCCAGCGAUGCGGAAUUAAAAUGUUUUUCAGGAGUCACAGCAGUAGAGGCGGUGCAACUAUAACGACACGUGAAUAAUCCGCCCACUCUAAAGCGGUACUAAACUGCAGUGGAAACGCAAACUGAGUCGAACUGAGCCGUGCCGUGCCGAUCUGAACCGUGCCGAGCCGAGUCGUACCACGCAGUGGAAAAGCGCCAUAACAGGUUUCUGUAGGGCAGCGAUAAUGCAUAUAAUACUUGGCAGUGAGGCAGAGAAAGUCCAUGGCUUAAGUAGGGGGUGAAAUGGGAAUCAGCUGUGUGAUCAGACUCGGGUGUAAGCAUGUGAUUGGCUGCAGCUGAGUGUAAUGAGUGCAAUGGAUUGUGGGAACUGAAGUUCAGUGUAAGUGUAACUAUCUGUGCAGUGUAAGAGUCGAUGUGGUGAAUGGUGGAGGGUGAAUGGAAGUUCAUGGACAGGAUUCGUGACA